UUUCUUCCCUGUGUAAAAUAUCGGACGGCGCCGAUAAUGCGAAUUCCGUAAAGGGGAAAAUUAGGAUAUCCUGUUAUGAGCUUUUGAGAUUCUCUUAUAAAUAGGAAAAUCCUAUCUCAUAUUUAGUUCAUUGAGAAGUUCACUCAUCUCGUAGUAACCAACGCAAUGAUGUUCAACACAAAAAUGAUUUUUAUCACAUUUGUUCUGAUGGUGACCCUAUUUGGAUUAGGCAUAUCUUCUCCUCACUUUGACGGCAACAUUUUGGACAAUGAUCCCUCUGCGUAUAUCGCGGAAAAUCAGCAAUUUGAGAAAAGCAUCAAGAAAAAAUUAGGAGGCGGCAAGAAAUGUGGCUAGAAUAAUUCACAUAUUCAUUUUCGUAGGCGAUUUUCUUGACUACUAAAUUGUCCAUAAACGUGUUUUAUUGCAGCAUAACAA
Molecule: long non-coding RNA, 435 nt
Organism: Cylas formicarius (sweet potato weevil)
Lineage: Eukaryota; Metazoa; Arthropoda; Insecta; Coleoptera; Brentidae
Exons: 2
Source: RefSeq, a predicted model, not a curated record